This 480-nucleotide ribosomal RNA is filed under the name Yamadazyma mexicana. RNAcentral's name for it is "partial 28S ribosomal RNA". It matches the Rfam family "Eukaryotic large subunit ribosomal RNA", at positions 113 to 648 of the family's 3401-position model. The record is from RNAcentral. Lineage: Eukaryota; Fungi; Ascomycota; Pichiomycetes; Serinales; Debaryomycetaceae.
AUUUGAAAUCUGGCACCUUCGGUGUCCGAGUUGUAAUUUGAAGAAGGUAUCUUUGGUUUUGGCUCUUGUCUAUGUUCCUUGGAACAGGACGUCACAGAGGGUGAGAAUCCCGUGCGAUGAGAUGCCCAAUUCCAUGUAAAGUUCCUUCGACGAGUCGAGUUGUUUGGGAAUGCAGCUCUAAGUGGGUGGUAAAUUCCAUCUAAAGCUAAAUAUUGGCGAGAGACCGAUAGCGAACAAGUACUGUGAAGGAAAGAUGAAAAGAACUUUGAAAAGAGAGUGAAAAAGUACGUGAAAUUGUUGAAAGGGAAGGGCUUGAGGUCAGACUUGGUUUUACCAGGCCAGCAUCAGUUUGGAUGGCAGGAUAAUAGCUUAGGAAUGUGGCACUGCUUCGGUAGUGUGUUAUAGCCUGGGUUGAUACUGCCUGUCUAGACUGAGGACUGCGUCUUUGACUAGGAUGCUGGCAUAAUGACCUUAAGCCGC